Long non-coding RNA from Pan troglodytes (chimpanzee), 9942 nucleotides. RefSeq lists it as uncharacterized. The record is from RefSeq and is a predicted model, not a curated record. Lineage: Eukaryota; Metazoa; Chordata; Mammalia; Primates; Hominidae. The transcript has 3 exons.
GGUCAGGCAGCCACUUGAAGAGGCAGUCUGCCCCUUCUCAGAUCUCCAGCUGCGUACUGGGAGAACCACUGCUCUCUUCAAAGCUGUCAGACAGGGACAUUUAAGUCUGCAGAGGUUACUGCUGUCUUUUUGUUUGUCUGUGCCCUGCCCCCAGAGGUGGAGCCUAUAGAGGCAGGCAGGCCUCCUUGAGCUGUGGUGGGCUCCACCCAGUUCGAGCUUCCAGGCUGCUUUGUUUACCUCAGCAAGCCGGGGCAAUGGCGGGCGCCCCUCCCCCAGCCUCGCUGCCGCCUUGCAGUUUGAUCUCAGACUGCUGUGCUAGCAAGCAGCGAGACUCCGUGCGCGUAGGACCCUCCGAGCCAGGUGCGGGAUAUAAUCUCGUGGCACGCCGUUUUUUAAGCCGGUCGGAAAAACGCAGUAUUCGGGUGGGAGUGGCCUGAGUUUCCAGGUGCCUUCCGUCACCCCUUUCUUUGACUAGGAAAGGGAACUCCCUGACCCCUUGCGCUUCCCGAGUGAGGUAAUGCCUCGCCCUGCUUCGGCUCGCACACGGUGCGCGCACCCACUGACCUGCGCCCACUGUCUGGCACUCCCUAGUGAGAUGAACCUGGUACCUCAGAUGGAAAUGCAGAAAUCACCCGUCUUCUGCGUUGCUCAGGCUGGGAGCUGUAGACCGGAGCUGUUCCUAUUUGGCCAUCUUGGCUCCUCCCCAUGUUCCAAUUCUUCAGUGUCUUGAAAGUUACUGCGUAGCAGCAGUUCCUACUUCAGAAGCUUUCUUUCCUGCCAACUUGUGAAGAAGGUGCUUGCUUCCCCUUCUGUCAUGACUGUAAGUUUCCUGAGGCCUCCUCAGCCAUGUGGAACGCAGAUCAAAGCCAGAGAUGAGGUGACAUACACCUAAGAUAUUCAAACUCCAGCUUGAAGGUCAAUUGGAUCUGCCGACAUAUGUUGCUGAUUUUGUAACAUGAAAGCCAGCUAAGAAAAACAGAUCAGUGAAAUGCAUAUUCUUCGUAUUCUUAAUUUCAGCCCUAUCCAAAUGUUUACAGAAUAGUUUGAAGAGAUUUGCAGUUUCUUGUUAUCAGUCUUAUUAAGCCUUGGCAAACCUUUAAUAACAAGUCUAUCAACAACCCACCAGGGAUUUGAUUUUAGUCUUAGAGUGCCUGAAUUUUUACGCUAUUGAACAAUUUUUAAUUGGAAGCACCAGGACUUUUUCUGAUCAGUUGUCCACGUUGCCUCAUGAAUGGGUGGCAUUCAUGCUCAGCUUGAAAAGGCAAUGGCAGCUGGGGAAAAAAUAAGGCUUUGUGUAAGCCGAGAAGAGGGCAGGCAGGCAGGCAAACAGCAAGAUUCCCCUAGAAGUAGCUUUAGUGUGGGUGUUUUAGGCCACACAGAAAAAAGUAAACUAGAAUAAUCACCACCUUGCACUUGUUUUAUGUUUCCAUGGUUUAACUUAAAACACUGGCACAAGGAGACAACUACCAUUCUAAAGUCAGAACCUCAGUUAAACUAGAAUUGUGGGUCAGAUCCAUGUCUGUCAACUACAUAGGACACUUGGAAGUGCAAUUUAGAAAGAGAGAAUAUAGUAGCAGUUUCCCCGCUAGUAAAUCCUACACACCCGUGCCAGGUUAAUUUUAUCAUGGUUAUUAGAAUGUCAAAACCUUCAAGGAUUUCCAUCUGCUCUUAGAGUAAAAUACCAACUUCUACAUUUGUGUUUCAAAGCUCUCUCUAAAAUAACCAAUCCUACACAUCCAGUUCUUCAUGAGAGUCAGGGCUCUGAAGCCAGAUUAUCUGGGCUCAAAUUCCACCUCCAUCAUUUACCAAGUUGUAUCACCUUGCACAAGUCACUUAACCUCUGUGUGCCUUUGUCUUCUCCUUGUAAAAUGCAGAUUAAAAUAUUGCCUCUAUUACGUGGUUGUUAUAGAAGAUUAACUAAGUUAAUAUGUGAAUGUUCUUAAACUGGCCUAAAACUUAGUGAGAAUAAGCACAUAUAAAUGCUUGAGUAAGGCAUGUCCCACUGUACUACAGUGCAUUAUGUUCCUUCCUUUCUCUCUCUACUCAUGGUUUUCUGUCUACUUAAAAUUCUUUGCAAAGUUAGAAAUGGAAGUAGUCAGAAACCAGAAAGCUAGCCAGAAUGAAAAUCACUGAAGCAGAAAGACUAGAUUGUCCUUCCAGAAGAAGGCUCUGUUCAGAAUUCUCCCAGAACUUUCCAGCCUCUAUACAUUUGCUUAUUUAGUUCUCCUUUUCUGGUAUGCCUUUCCUUCUUCUAUCUAUUCAAAACCUACUCAGUCUUUCAAAAUCAAGAUGGAAUUCUCUGUGAUGCCUUUCUCAAAUGCUUUGGACUUACUCAUGUUUUCAUGAACUGUAUCUCCUAUUGAUCUGCCAUUUUUUGGUCCUUAAUUAUAUACCAAUUUGUGUUGCAAAUUAAUAUUUGCUUUCAUAUUAGUCUUAUUUCCCCCAAAUAGAUGGUUAGCUUAUCAAGCACAAGAGCAGAGAUUUAUCUUAUAUCUCGUGUGGAGCUGAGCUUAAAGUAAGUGUUCAAUAAAUUCUAUUGAAUAGACUUUAAUAAAUUCAAUUAAUGUCCUCUCCUUCAAUCCUGUCUGCAAUAGUCACAGUAACUAAAAAUAAGAGGUUUAAGAAAAUAUCAAUAAAAGGCUGAAAAUAUCAUGAAUAAGAAACUAAAACUAACUACCAAAGCCAAGGUAGAUUCUGAUGGGCUGAAGCUGAAGAAAAAAAUGGUUCUUCCUCUAAAAUAUUUUACAAUUUGUUUCACAUAUUUAAAAUAUAUUUGAAAGUGAGGAAACUGGACACAAAUAAUUUCACAAUGAAUUAAGUCAGAACUAGUGCUCAAACCUCUAUCUUCUGGCACUAAUCUGUCUUAACUCAUUGUGGGAUUCUGUGUGUCCAGUGCACCUAUAUCUACCACACUGUGGAUUACGGUGAAAAAAAAAAAGGAUUAUGUAGAGUAGUUAAGUCUCUAGAUUUGUUCAUCUAGUUGGAGUUAAAAAUUUCAUUGGCAAGUAGAUUGUUCACCAAUUUCUGUAAGUAAUGGCUAUUAAAAAAUUCUUUUCCCAUUGGAAACUCAGCAUUUUAGACAUGUGGUAGGCUCUUAGUCUUUGUUAAACAACAGUGAUGUUAUUUCUUCAAUUUUGAUACUUGGUGUGUACUCUUAUUUCCUGGCUGUUCAUAGUUUAUGCCAAUUAUGCCAAAUUUUUAUCAACUUUAUCCAAAUUUUAUUUGUUGUCCAAUAUUUGUUUGACUAACUUGCCAAUUUCUCAGUGCAUAUUUAUCCAAGAGGAACUGAAGUAUUGUCAGUAUAGUUUUGAUACCAGCAAGGUUAUAUAAUAAAAAACUAACCUUUAGUGACUAUAUUUGUAUAUUUAAUAUUAAGUAUAGAUCACAUGCGGCUGCUUGACUUCUGAUGUAACUCUAUGUGUUUUGAAAUAGACCUGAGGCUCCUUACAGGAAUAGACAAUGGUCUCUUCAGUUGAAUUUUUGCUGACUUUUCUCAAUAUGUGAAAAUCUCUUAAUUUUCCUGACUCUACCCUAUCUAGGUUCUCCUCUUGUGUCUUCCUUCACUCCUUUAAUAAAUCUUAGUUCUCAGUCCUCCACUGUAUUUUCUAUAUAAUGCCUUAGAUUUCAUCUCAGUCACUGUAGUGCUUUCACUAUUUCUGCAUAGAUGAUGCUAUAAUAUUUACUUCAGCUUUCAAAAUUCUAACCAGCUCUUCUCUAAAACCCUACUAGACAUUUCUUCUUGGGCAACCUACCUAUACCUCAAGUUGGAUGUAUUUUUAACUGAAUUCAUCAUGUCUCUGAAAUUGUCUCUGUCUCUUAAUUUUCUUAACACUAUUCCUGCCGUUCAUUAGGAAGUUCAGUCUCCUUUGACUCCUCUCCUUUCCUGACUGCAUAUUCAUUUGGUCCUAUAGUAUUGUCUGUUUGAUCAUCUUGAUAUCUGCAAAGUCCAUUUUUCCUUCUGGCACUUCCUUUUCCAUCUCUUCAACUGGACUGGCACUGUAGUUCAAUACCCAGAAAUACACAUAAUAAUUACUUGUUGAAUUAAUAAAUGAAUGACUUUCCUAUCUCAAUUUCUUUGUGCCUUCAGUAUAUUCCAGAUUAAUUAUUUCUCUGUAGCCCCAGCUACCGGGAGGCUGAGGCAGGAGAAUGGUAUGAACCCGGGAGGCGGAGCUUGCAGUGAGCCGAGAUCGCGCCACUGCACUCCAGCCUGGGCGACAGAGUGAGACUCCAUCUAAAAAAAAAUAAAAAUAAAAAAUAAAAAGACAUAUUCAUCCUGUUACUUAUACUGGAAAGCCUUUCCGAGCUUUCACUCUUCUAUAAUAGUGCUUCCCUUUCCUCACUUUGCAUUAGUACCACCUGGAGAGAUUGUAGAGAAUCCUGUGCCCAAGCCUCAUCUAGACAUAGGAAGUAGACUCUCUGGACACAGGACCCAGACAUUCAGGGGUGAUAUCCAAAGAAUUUUACCAGUGAUAUGACAAAAACACCAAUCAAAACUGCUUUCCUGACCGAUCAGCAUGGACUAUGGCUGCAAAAACCAGAAUGGUCCUAAAUACUAUCUAAUUAUCAGCCCUGCCAAUACUCAUGUUUAUUAAGAUCUCAAAAAGGUAAUUCUAAUGAACCACUGAUUACAAAAUACACUCAUAUUUCUGACCCUGGCAAUCAAGACUCUUUAUAAUAAGGCCUAAAUUUCCCUUUAGAACAUUAUUGCCUCUAGCCUUUAUAUGAAAUCUCUGCUCUAAUCAUUUUAUAUCCACUAACUAUGCCUUGCUCAUUGCCAUUUCCUAGCUUUUACUUACAGAGUAGGUGUUCUAUGACAGGGUAAACUUUGCUUUACUUCAUUUUAAUGGAAAAUAGAGGUAAUGUGAAGUAGAACAUUAAUGCACUCAACCAAUCAAACAGUAAUUUACAGUGUUUGUGAACUUUUUAGGAUGUGUAUGUUUGCUUACCAAGAAUGGCACUGAAUUACAACGAAUGAUGAAAAGUUAUAAUCAUGGAAUAGAGGGGAGCAGAGACGAAAUGUUCAAGCCUUGGCUAUGGAGGAAAAAAAUUGCUGAUGGAAAGAGAAUGGCCAUGUAUGUCUACUAAACAUCACACUCUUGAUCUUUUAAAAAGGAAUUGUUUUGUGAAUUUCUAACUUGUCUUUUAUGAAGUUAUGGUUCAUUCUUUUAAAUAAUGUGAGGAAAUGUUGACCAAAAAUGACUGAAGUGUGUUGAAAAAAGAAUAAUCUCCAAAAAUAAUGGAAAGUAAUUCUGUUGUUGCUACUUCACGGAGCUCUUUCCUUACAUUGUGUUUUUAGUGUCCUUGGCUACUUCUUAGAUCCAACGUGUACAACAAAAUGCUAAAAUGUAAAGAGCAUAAUUUAGGGAUCAAUAAAAUUUUAUCUGAUAGAUGCCUCACUCACAAGAAGACUCAGAUGACACAUAAAGGGCACUGAUGUAGGAAUAACUAAUCACUGUCAACUGUACUCAUGGGAAAAAUCAGCAUAACUCCCAUGUUCAAGUAAGAAGAAAAUUUUAAGUCAUUGAGUUAUAUCACAUCUAGUUCCAGAAGCCUGUUUUGGGUUAUUUGUGCCCUGGGAAUUCCUGCAAAUUCAGAGACCAAUUCUAGGAUAAGAUGAUUGAACUAGUCUGUUCUUAACUGCUUUAAAGAACUACUUGAGACUGGGUAAUUUAUGAAGAAAAGAGGUUUACUUGACUCACAGUUCUGCAGACUGGAAAGGAGGCAUGACUGGAAGGCCUCAGAAAACUUACAAUCAUAGUGGAAGGACAAAGGGGAAGCAAGCAUGUCUUCAUGUAGUAGCAGGAGAGAGAGAGAGAGAGAGAGAAAGAGUGAAGGGAGAAGUGUUACACACUUUUAAACAAUCAGAUCUUGUGAGAGCUCACCCAUUAUGAGAAUAACUGCAAGGGGAAAAUCCACUUCCCAUGAUCUAAUCACCUCCCACCAGGCCGCACCUCCAACACUCACAAUUCAACAUGAGAUUUGGGUGGGGAUACAAUGAUUUUAUAGUGUUUUGUACCAACCUGGAGUGGAGUUUUUAAUUAACUCCUAAGAGAAUGUUUGAUUAACUUUUUUUUUUUUUUUUUUUUUGAGAUGGAGUUUCAUUCUUGUUGCCCAGGCUAGAGUGCAAUGGCACGAUCUUGGCUCAUUGCAAACUCCACCUGCCAGGUUCAAGUGAUUCUCCUGCUUCAGCCUCCUCAGUAGUUGGGAUUACAGGUGCCUGUGACCAUGCCCAGCUAAUUUUUCUUUUUUUUUGUAUUUUUAGUAGAGACAGGGUUUAACCAUGCUGGCCAGGCUGGUCUCGAACUCCUGACCUCAGGUGAUCCACCCACCUCGGCCUCCCAAAGUGCUGGGAUUGAUUAACUCUUGUAAGUGAAGUACUCGGAGACAACUAUUUGGCUCCAACGUGCUCUUUUAAGCUCUUCCCUUUCAUAUUGCAUCCACAGCCUUUUGAUAGUCAAUUGCAUUUAUGAAGUUAUUCCAAAAUUUUGGAGCUCAGCCAAAUAAUUUCCAAAAGCACAGAGCUGCAAUUGGCAAUAUGGUAGGCAAGAUAAUAGUCCUCUACAAAGAUAACCAUACCCUGAUCCUUAUAAUCUGUGAAUCUGUUAAGAUACAUGGCAAAAAGAACUUUGCACGUGCAAUUAAAUUAAGGACUUUGGGGUGGGAGGAUUACUUUGGAGUAUCUGGGUGGAACUAAUCUAAUUACACAAAUCCUUAAAAGCAGAGAACCUUUCCUGCCUGUGUUUAGAGACCAUGUGAUGAUGAAAGGAGAGUGAGAGAGAUUCUACAUUGCUGGCUUCAAAAAUGGAGGAAGGCCAAUGCCCAGAAGAGUUUUCCCUAGGUUGUCUUCUAGCGGUUUCAGGGCUUUGGGUCUUCAAUUUAAGUCUUCGGUCCAUCUCGAGUUGAUUUUUGUAUAAGGUGAGAGAUAGGGAUCUGGUUUCAUUCUUCUACAUGUGGCUAGCCAGUUUUCCCAGCACCAUUUAUUAAAUAGGGUGUCUUUCCCCUAAUUUAUGUUUUUGUAUGCUUUGUUGAAGAUCAGUUGGUUCUAAGUAUUUGGCUUUAUUUCUGGGUUCUCUAUUCUGUUCCAUUGGUCUAUUUGUCUACUGUUAUACUGCUACCAUGUUGUUUUGGUAACUACAGCCUUGUAGUAUAAUUUGAAGUCUGUUAGUAUGAUGUCUCCAGCUUUGUUCUUUUUGCUUAGUGUUUCUUUGGCUAUGCAGGCUCUUUUUUGGUUCCAUAUGAAUUUUAGGAUUUUUUUUUAUUUCUGUGAAAAAUGAUGUUAGUAUUUUGAUAGGAAUUGCAUAGAAUCUGAAGAUUGCUUUGGGCAGUAUGGUCAUUUUUGUGAUAUUGAUUCUUCCAGUUCAUGAGCAUGGGAUGUGUCUCCAUUUGUUUGUAUAAUCUCUGGUUUCUUUCAGCAGUGUUUUGUAGUUCUCCUUGUAGAGCUCUUUCAUCUCCUUGGUCAAGUAUAUUCUUAGGUCUUUUUUUUUCUUUAACUGUUGUAAAAGGGAUUGAAUUCUUGAUUUGAUUCUCUGCUUAGUCAUUGUUGGUGUAUAGCAGUGCUACCAAUUUGUGUAUAUUGAUUUUGUAAAAUUUACUUAACUGAAUGUAUUUAUCAAAUCUAGGAGUCUUUUGGAGGAGUCUUUAGGGCUUUCUAGUUAUGCAAUCAUAUCAUCAGUGAGCAGUGACAGUUUGACUUCUUUUUUUCCAGUUUGGAUGCCCUUUAUUUUUUCCUGUUGCCUAAUUGCUGUAGCUGGAACUUUCAGUACUAUCUAUGUUGAAUAGAAGUGGUGAAAGUGGACUGGACAUUGGCCUAGGCAAAGAAUUUAUGACUAAGACCACAAAUUCAAAUGCAACAAAACCAAAAAUAAAUAAAUGGGACUUAAUUAAACUAAAAGAUUCCGUACAGAAAAAGAAAUAAUCAUCAGAGUAAACAGACAACCCACAGAGUGGGAGAAAAUAUUUGCAAACUAUGCAUCCAACAAAGGACUAAUAUCCAGAAUCUAUAAGGAACUCAAAUCAGCAAGAAAAAAAAAAAACAAAUGAUCCCAUCAAAAAGUGGGCAAAUGACAUGAAUAGACAUUUUUAAAAAUAAGAUAUACAGAUGGCCAAAAAACAUGAAAAGAUACUCACCAUCACUAAUCAUCAGGGAAAUGUAAAUUAAAACCACAGUGAGGUACCUCUUGACUACUACAAGCAUGACCAUUAUUAAAAAGUCAAAAAACUGUAGUUGUUGGCAUGGAUGUGGCAGAAAGGAAAUGCUUAUACACUGCUCAUGGGAAUGUAAAUUAGUACAACCUCUAUGGAAAACAGUAUGGAGAUUUAAAGAGCUAAAAGUAGAUCUACCAUUUGAUCCAGCAGUCCCACUACUGGGUAUCCACCUAAAGGAAAAUAAGUCAUAUCAAAAAGACAUCUGCAUGCAUAUGUUUUAGGCAGCACAAUUCACAAUUUCAGAUAUUUGGAACCAACCUAAGUGCUCAUUGACCAAUGAAUAGAUAAAGAAAAUGUGGUAUAUAUACACCAUGGAAUACUACUCAGCCAUGAAAAAGAAUAAAGUAAUGCUUUUGCAGCAACUUAAAUGGAGCUGGAGGCCAUUAUUCUAAGUGAAAUAACCAAGGAAUAGAAAACCAAAUAUUGUAUAUUCUCACUUAUAAGUGGGAGUUAAGUUAUGGGUACACAAAGGCACACAGAAUGAUAUAAUGAACUACAGAAACUCAGCAGUGGGAUAGUGAGAAUGGGGAUUAAGGGAUAUAAAAAACACAUAUUGGAUACAAUCUACAUUACUGAAGUGUCAGGUGGUCUAAAAUCUCAGACUUCAUCACUACACAAUUUAUCCAUGUAACAAAAACCACUUGUACCCCAAAAGCUACUGAAAAAAAAUUUUUUUUAAAUGAAGGAAGGGAACCAUUAGUCAAGGAAUGUAGGCAGUCUUCAGAAGCUGUAAAAGGCAUGGAAACAGUCUUUACCCUAGAGGCUUCAGAUAGGAAUGCAGCUUUGCUUACAAUCUUGAUUCCAGCCUACAGACUUCUGAUCUGCAGACCGUAUGAUAAUAACUUUAUGUUUUAGGCCACUACGUUUGUGGUAAUUUAUGGCAACUAUAGAAAAUGAAAAGGAGUCUGCAUGGACAUGUGUCUUAAUGGGGAGUGAGGAGGGAUCAAAAAAUACAAACCCCUCUCAAAGCAUUUACUAAGAAAUAUUUGUUGAUGAGCCUAGACUCUGUCUUUUGUUUACAACUGCUCAAUUAUUAUGUAAUGGAAUUGUAAUUUCUAUGCAUUUGUUAGGUUGGCUAUUACAUAAUUUUCUUUUUUAAAAAAUAGUUUAAUUGAAAUAUAAUUCAUAUAUAAUUUGCCAAUUUAAAGUGUACAAUUCAGUGUUUUUAAUAUAUUCACAAGGUUGUGCAACCAUCACAACAAUCUAAUUUUAGAACAUUUUCAACAUCUUAAAAGAAAUCCCAUACCCUUUAGCAGUCAAUCCCUUUCCCCUCAUCCAGAGCCCUAAACAAAUGCUAAUCUACUUUCUGUCUUCAUUACUUUGUCUAUUCUGGACAUUUCACAUAAGUGAAAUCCUAAAAUGUGUGGCCUUUUGUGUAUGGCUUCUUUGACUUAAUGUAAGAUUUUCGAGGUCCAAUUACACUGCACUACAUCUCAGUACUUCAUUCCUUUUUAUUAGUGAGUACUAUUCCAUUGUAUGGAUAUACCACUUCCACAUUUUAUUUGUUCAUUCAACAGUUUAAUUGUGCUCUGAUGGUUGAAAGACAAAAUUGUCAAGCGUUCUGUAUUAGCAGUGGAUGUAGACAUUUUUUCAGAUGGAUAAAAUGUAUAUGCUACAGAUGUAAAGUCUUCCAUGUAAAAAAGUUUUGUACAGCUUUCUGUACAAUAUUGAAUCUCAUCUGGCAUAUUCUAAUCAGGUUAUAGGUCAAUAAAGUUUUUGACUUAUUUCAAUAAAAAC